Molecule: long non-coding RNA, 222 nt
Organism: Callorhinchus milii (elephant shark)
Lineage: Eukaryota; Metazoa; Chordata; Chondrichthyes; Chimaeriformes; Callorhinchidae
Exons: 3
Source: RefSeq, a predicted model, not a curated record
GGUGGCGAUUGACUCCUGUGGUCUCGGAUUUCUUCACUGCCCGCGGGUUUUGUGGCAGGGUGAUCCAAUGAAGUCCAGUGGAUUGUGGUGCUUUCUUUUCUUGCUUGGAAUAUGCUUGUUGAUGGCUGAAGGAUGGUUAGAAAGAAAAGCCACUGGAAAGCAGCCACCUGGAGACAGACAGGAGCAAGCAGAAGCUUCAGAUGUGAUUAAGAAAAAAGGUAA